Culex pipiens (northern house mosquito) is the source of this 60-nucleotide non-coding RNA. Lineage: Eukaryota; Metazoa; Arthropoda; Insecta; Diptera; Culicidae. The record is from Rfam.
UUAGCCGAAUGGUAACGCUGUCUGUUUUGUAAGCGGGUGAUCAUGGGUUCGAUUCCCAUA